AUGGAAGACCCCUCUCUUUCCCUCUCCCUCUCUUUGUGUAACCCUGCCUUUCAAAUGAAUCAAAUUUUUUUAUUUUUUAAAAAAAGAUAUAUUUAUGUAGGCUCAAGUCAGUGGGGUCCACAGGCUCUUCCCUCCACUAGAAUCUCUGGAUCACACGGGAACGCAGGGGCCCCCGGGCAAUGCCGCCGGCGAGAAGAUGGCGUCCUGGCUCAGCCAGUUGCUGCGCCUGCGCAGAGACGUCCGCAGCCGCGCCAGAGCCCAAAAUGGUGCCCGCCUUUCCUCAGCCGGGCAGCGGACGCCCUAGUGGGGAGGACGGCUGAGGUCCACUGGGUCUGCCAGGGCCAGCCCCCGGGGCUCCAGCCCGGACUCCCGCCCUGCGCUCUCGCAGUCCGCUCUCACCUGGUCUCCACGUCGCCGCCCGCUCCGGCUCCUUCCUGGCCUACUCCGCCAUCUUGGAGUCUCCGGACUGCCUUCUGUGACGGCCUGGGAGAGACAACCACGUCACAGCCGCUGUGUUCUGUUUAUCAAGUCAGUGACACAGAUUUCCCAGGCUUCCAGGUGGGAAAGGAGGGUAUCACUGUCAGAUCGUCAGUAGACUAUGUGGAAGGAGAUGCGCGCGCUCCCUGGGCCAGACCGCCUGCCAUGGCUUCCUCCUGCAGCCGCGCUCUCAGAUCUGCAAUGGAAGUACACACGGAACAGCACCCCUUCCCGCGGCUGCCGACGCUCAGGACCAGGAAUCUGCGGUGUCGAGGGUUAUUGAAAUGGAUAUAUCCUGGAGUUCAUACCAAAGAUGGGGAAGAAGAGUGUGGAUUAAAGUGCAGCGUUGCCCCUGGCCCUGCUUUGAACUCUCACUGGCUUUUUUGGAACUUCACCAAGAUCAAACAGGCAGUUGCAGCCAGCUCCAGGCCUCUGGUUCUCUGUAUAAAUUUAGAAGUAGAUUUUGAGGUUAAGAUUAUGAAGUUUUGUAGUAACUUUAAACUGGAAAGUAUUGCAUUCACCUUUUAUACUCCCCAAAGUAAAAAGAAAUGCCCAGCCGUGUAA
Molecule: long non-coding RNA, 1041 nt
Filed under: Oryctolagus cuniculus (rabbit)
Lineage: Eukaryota; Metazoa; Chordata; Mammalia; Lagomorpha; Leporidae
Description: lncRNA (ENSOCUG00000038080.1)
Source: RNAcentral